CCUACGGGUGGCAGCAGUGAGGAAUAUUGGUCAAUGGGCGAGAGCCUGAACCAGCCAAGUCGCGUGAGGGAGUACUGCCCUAUGGGUUGUAAACCUCUUUUGUCGGGGAGCAAAAGCCGGAAGUGUUCGGCUUUGAGAUUUACCGAAGAAACAGCAUCGGCUAACUCCGUGCCAGCAGCCGCGGUAAUACGGAGGAUGCGAGCGUUAUCCGGAUUUAUUGGGUUUAAAGGGAGCGUAGGUGGUUUGUUAAGUCAGUUGUGAAAGUUUGCGGCUCAACCGUAAAAUUGCAGUUGAGACUGGCAGUCUUGAGUACAGUAGAGGUGGGCGGAAUUCGUGGUGUAGCGGUGAAAUGCUUAGAUAUCACGAAGAACUCCGAUUGCGAAGGCAGCUCACUGGACUGCAACUGACGCUGAGGCUCGAAAGUGUGGGUAUCAAACAGGAUUAGAUACCCCAGUAGUC
This 459-nucleotide ribosomal RNA is filed under the name uncultured bacterium. Its description in RNAcentral is "partial 16S ribosomal RNA". It matches the Rfam family "Bacterial small subunit ribosomal RNA", at positions 338 to 795 of the family's 1533-position model. The record is from RNAcentral.